This 253-nucleotide ribosomal RNA is filed under the name uncultured bacterium. RNAcentral describes it as "partial 16S ribosomal RNA". It matches the Rfam family "Bacterial small subunit ribosomal RNA", at positions 524 to 776 of the family's 1533-position model. The record is from RNAcentral.
UACAGAGGGUGCGAGCGUUAAUCGGAUUUACUGGGCGUAAAGGGCGCGUAGGUGGUAGAGCAAGUAAGAUGUGAAAGCCCUGGGCUUAACCUAGGAAGUGCAUCUUAAACUACUCGACUAGAGUAUGGUAGAGGGUAGUGGAAUUUCCGGUGUAGCGGUGAAAUGCGUAGAGAUCGGAAGGAACGCCAGUGGUGAAGACGACUACCUGGAUCAAUACUGACACUGAGGCGCGAAAGCGUGGGGAUCAAACAGG